GAUGAACGCUGGCGGCGUGCCUAAUACAUGCAAGUCGAGCGAACAGACGAGGAGCUUGCUCCUCUGACGUUAGCGGCGGACGGGUGAGUAACACGUGGAUAACCUACCUAUAAGACUGGGAUAACUUCGGGAAACCGGAGCUAAUACCGGAUAAUAUAUUGAACCGCAUGGUUCAAUAGUGAAAGACGGUUUUGCUGUCACUUAUAGAUGGAUCCGCGCCGCAUUAGCUAGUUGGUAAGGUAACGGCUUACCAAGGCAACGAUGCGUAGCCGACCUGAGAGGGUGAUCGGCCACACUGGAACUGAGACACGGUCCAGACUCCUACGGGAGGCAGCAGUAGGGGAUCUUCCGCAAUGGGCGAAAGCUUGACGGAGCAACGCCGCGUGAGUGAUGAAGGUCUUCGGAUCGUAAAACUCUGUUAUUAGGGAAGAACAAAUGUGUAAGUAACGAUGCACGUCUUGACGGUACCUAAGCAGAAAGCCACGGCUAACUACGU
RNAcentral lists this ribosomal RNA (496 nucleotides) under uncultured bacterium. RNAcentral describes it as "partial 16S ribosomal RNA". It matches the Rfam family "Bacterial small subunit ribosomal RNA", at positions 28 to 506 of the family's 1533-position model. The record is from RNAcentral.